Molecule: ribosomal RNA, 1662 nt
Filed under: Triticum aestivum (bread wheat)
Lineage: Eukaryota; Viridiplantae; Streptophyta; Magnoliopsida; Poales; Poaceae
Description: partial small subunit ribosomal RNA
Source: RNAcentral
AUGUGGUAUGCUCCUAUAAUACCACGGUUGAAACGUCUGUUCAGAAAUGAAGAGCAUGCCAAGUUGAUGAGAUGGCACAGAGAGGGCCGUAAGAAAGACGAGAAGUUGAGAGUACCCGCCGACGGGUCGCAGUGGAGAAAAAUUGAGAGAAAGUACUGGGCUGAGUUUGCAGGUGACCCAAGGAACGUAUGGUUUAGUUUAAGCGCGGAUGGCAUUAAUCCUUUCGGGGAGCAGAGCAACAAUCACAUCACCUGGCCCGUGACUCUAUGCAUGUAUAACCUUCCUCCUUGGAUGUGCAUGAAGCGGAAGUUCAUUAUGAUGCCAGUUCUCAUACAAGGCCCUAAGCAACCCGGCAACGACAUUGAUGUGUACCUAAGGCCAUUAGUUGAAGAACUUUUACAGCUGUGGAAUGGAAACGGUGUACGUGUGUGGGAUGAGCAUAAACAGGAGGAAUUUAACCUGCACGCGUUGUUGUUUGUAACCAUCAACGAUUGGCCCGCUCUCAGUAACCUUUCAGGACAGACAAACAAGGGAUACCACGCAUGCACGCACUGUUUAGCUGACACCGAAAGUAUAUACCUGGACAAAUGCAGGAAGAAUGUGUACCUGGGCCAUCAUCGAUUUCUUCCGACCAACCAUCAAUGUCGAAAGAAAGGCAAGCAUUUCAAAGGCGAGGCAGAUCACCGGAAGAAGCCCACCAUGCGUACCGGUGAUCACGUACUUGCUAUGGUCAAUGAUUUACAUGUAAUCUUUCAAAAGGGUCCCGACAGACUAGCUGUUCCGAAUGAUGCUGAGGGACGCGCACCCAUGUGGAAGAAGAAAUCUAUAUUUUGGGACAUACCCUACUGGAAAGACCUAGAGGUCCGCUCUUCAAUCGACGUGAUGCACGUGACGAAGAACCUUUGCGUGAACCUGCUAGUCUUCUUGGGCGUGUAUGGGAAGACAAAAGAUACACCUGAGGUACAGGAGGACCUGCAACGUUUGCACGAAAAAUACGGCAUGCCUCCAAAGCAGUAUGAAGGUCCUGCCAGCUACGCUCUUACCAAAGAAGAGAAGGAAAUCUUCUUUGAAUGCCUGCUCAGUAUGAAGGUCCCGACUGGCUUCUCGUCGAAUAUAAAGGGAAUAAUAAAUAUGCCAGAGAAAAAGUUCCAGAACCUAAAUUCUCAUGACUGCCACGUGAUUAUGACGCAACUACUUCCGGUUGCAUUGAGGGGGCUUCUACCGGAAAACGUCCGAUUAGCCAUUGUGAAGCUAUGUGCAUUCCUCAAUGCAAUCUCUCAGAAGAUGAUCGAUCCAGAAAUCAUACCAAGGCUAAGGAGUGAUGUGGCACAAUGUCUUGUCAGUUUCGAGCUGGUGUUCCCACCAUCCUUCUUCAAUAUCAUGACGCACGUCCUAGUUCAUCUAGUUGACGAGAUUAUCAUUCUGGGCCCCGUAUUUCUACACAAUAUGUUCCCCUUUGAGAGGUUCAUGGGAGUCCUAAAGAAAUAUGUCCGUAACCGCGCUAGGCCAGAAGGAAGCAUCUCCAUGGGCCAUCAAAUAGAGGAUGUCAUUGGGUUUUGUGUUGACUUCAUUCCUAGCCUUAAGAAGAUAGGUCUCCCUGUAUCGCGGUAUGAGGGGAGACUGACUAGAAAAGGCACGCUUGGAGGGGACUCAAUAAUAUGA